GAUGAACGCUGGCGGCGUGCUUAACACAUGCAAGUCGAACGGAGAAAGGGUAGCUUGCUAUCUUUUCUUAGUGGCGGACGGGUGAGUAACGCGUGGGUAACCUGCCCUUUGCAGGGGGAUAACAGUGAGAAAUCACUGCUAAUACCGCAUACCAACUUCUUUCGCAUGAAAGAAGUUUGAAAGAUUUAUCGGCAAAGGAUGGACCCGCGUUGGAUUAGCUAGUUGGUGAGAUAACAGCCCACCAAGGCAACGAUCCAUAGCCGGCCUGAGAGGGUGAACGGCCACACUGGGACUGAGACACGGCCCAGACUCCUACGGGAGGCAGCAGUGGGGAAUAUUGCACAAUGGGCGAAAGCCUGAUGCAGCGACGCCGCGUGAAGGAUGAAGGUCUUCGGAUUGUAAACUUCUAUCAGCAGGGAAGAAAGGGCCUAUGGCCUAUGACGGUACCUGACUAAGAAGCCCCGGCUAACUACGUG
RNAcentral lists this ribosomal RNA (476 nucleotides) under uncultured bacterium. Its description in RNAcentral is "bacterial SSU rRNA". It matches the Rfam family "Bacterial small subunit ribosomal RNA", at positions 28 to 507 of the family's 1533-position model. The record is from RNAcentral.